GUGAAGAUUGUAUGUCCAAAUUUACAGUUCUGUUUUAUCAGAUGGCCAAGUGUGAUGGUUGUAAACGACAGGGUAAACUAAGCGAGUCCAUAAAGUGGCGAGGCAACAUUAAACAUUUCUGUAACCUAUUUUGUGUCUUGGAGUUUUGUCAUCAGCAAAUUAUGAAUGACUGUCUUCCACAAAAUAAAGUAAAUAUUUCUAAAGCAAAAACUGCUGUGACGGAGCUCCCUUCUGCAAGGACAGAUACAACACCAGUUAUAACCAGUGUGAUGUCAUUGGCAAAAAUACCUGCUACCUUAUCUACAGGGAACACUAACAGUGUUUUAAAAGGUGCAGUUACUAAAGAGGCAGCAAAGAUCAUUCAAGAUGUGAGUUUAAUUGUUAAUACUUUUCUUGAUAAUGCCACUUGGGCUUAUUUUCACUUUGGAUAUGGCAUUCUAAUAUAUCUGAAUACUUUUCUUUUUGCUGGAA
This 471-nucleotide long non-coding RNA is filed under the name Homo sapiens (human). Its description in RNAcentral is "non-protein coding lnc-TMEM35B-2:1". The record is from RNAcentral. Lineage: Eukaryota; Metazoa; Chordata; Mammalia; Primates; Hominidae.